RNAcentral lists this ribosomal RNA (167 nucleotides) under uncultured bacterium. RNAcentral describes it as "partial 16S rRNA". It matches the Rfam family "Bacterial small subunit ribosomal RNA", at positions 352 to 511 of the family's 1533-position model. The record is from RNAcentral.
CAGUAGGGAAUCUUCCACAAUGGGCGAAAGCCUGAUGGAGCAACGCCGCGUGUGUGAUGAAGGGUUCCGGCUCGUAAAACACUGUUGUAAGAGAAGAAUGACAUUGAGAGUAACUGUUCAAUGUGUGACGGUAUCUUACCAGAAAGGAACGGCUAAAUACGUACCAG